AAAGUCGUAACAAGGUAACCGUAGGUGAACCUGCGGUUGGAUCAUUAAUGAUAUGGGUCGCUGCUUCUUGCAGUGUACCUCGAGAGAGCCCUUGUCUUUAUCGGCAAGCGGCACCUCCAACACCUUUGUGAACCUGUUUAUCUGUCUCUAGCGUGUUUCGCACGCUAAUUUAAACUUUAUGAAAUAAACUUGCCUCUAAAAAAAUAAAAAAAGUAAUUAAAACAACUUUUGACAACGGAUCUCUAGGCUCUC
RNAcentral lists this unclassified non-coding RNA (252 nucleotides) under Chytridiomycota sp. Its description in RNAcentral is "partial contains small subunit ribosomal RNA, internal transcribed spacer 1, and 5.8S ribosomal RNA". The stretch from base 1 to 47 matches the Rfam family "Eukaryotic small subunit ribosomal RNA", at positions 1785 to 1831 of the family's 1831-position model. The record is from RNAcentral. Lineage: Eukaryota; Fungi; Chytridiomycota.